AGGAAUUGUUUGAUUGUUUCUUCUCUUCCCUUUCUCCGCGUAAUUCAGCCACUGAACUCGGUGGCGGCUCACUGAGUCUUCCUCGUCGGAAACGAGUCCACAGCCAUGGGAGAACCAGAACAUGAACAACAGCAUCAAAAUGAGCAGAAAGAGUUCGCUGACGGUGGAAAGAGAAAGCUGGACGCUUUCGAACUCGCCAAACAGAGAGCUCAAGAAAUUGCGUCUCGAAUUGCUAGUGACGCUGAUCCGAAACGCCCUCGAAUCGUCACUGAAAACUCGUCAGAGCCUUCAUUUUCCUCAAGUUCUGUGUCUGCCCCUCCCUCUUUCCCUGUUCCCUUUGCUGCCCAACCAAGUCUGUAUUCACAAGGCACAAGUAAGAAGAUUACAAUUCCUAAUGGCAAGGUUGGUGUGGUUAUAGGGAAAGGAGGAGAAACAAUAAAACAUAUUCAACUUCAGUCAGGGGCUAAAAUUCAGAUUACCAAGGACCAAGAUGCUAAUCCCCAUUCUCUAACAAGGGAUGUGGAGCUGAUGGGUACUUCAGAACAAAUUAGCAGGGCCGAAGAACUGAUCUGUGAUGUGAUUGCAGAGACAGAUACUGGGGGCUCUGCUUCAUCUGCUGUUCACGGAUUGAAUACGAAGCAAUCUGGAGCUGAGCAGUUUGCAAUGAAAGUCCCUAACGACAAGGUUGGAUUGCUCAUUGGCAAGGGCGGUGAAACCAUAAAGUACAUGCAAGGCAGAUCAGGGGCCCGUAUGCAGGUGUUUAGUUAAAAAAAAUGUAGAAAUAAACUGCAGUGUAUGAAAGAUUAUCCUGACAAAUCCUGGUGGCUCAUUUAAAAACACAUUUCACUCUCUAAAUACAUAGUUUGGCUGUAUUGAAGUUGUACUUGUGAGUCUUUAUGAGUUUUGCUCAUAUUGGUGCUGUUGUAAAUUAGAACAGAGUAGAUUGAUUGAUUCUAACUAGGAUAUGAAAGGUAGUAAUCUGAAGAAUAAUAUGGAUUUGCCUUAGACCGCAAUUAAAACCAUGCUUCAAUUGUAUUAUUAGGCUGGGACUUGUCCUUUAUAAGAUUUAGCAAAAAAACAUAGAUUUUAACAAUUUAUGGCGUGAUUUAUGGUAAAAUUCAACUGACAAUCAAUCAAUCCAUCAAGAAUGUGAGGGUGUUGGAUGGUGAAUGGUCACAUGAUACGGGUUGGUGUUUUUGCCUAGCACUCUCUCCCCUUUGAUUUUGGUGACACUUUCUGUAUGAUUAUGGAGAUAAAAGGUAGUUGAUGGUAGUUUUUUUGUUUUAAUAGUUUUGGUUGAAUUAUUCUUUAUUUUUUUUUAUUCUAUUGAAAAAUGUAAAUUAACCAUGAUUCUUAGGUAGUCAAUAUUAUGAUGUCAUUCUACACAGCGGGCAUCACUUCCCCUCCCAUUCUAAUCUCAAUAUUUACAUAAUUAUAAUAUUUUCACUAAUUGGUUAAUACUGUCAAGCUUUGGUCCUUAUAGUCCAUUUUGUUCUACUUUUGGUGUCAAACACAUGAACAAGGUAGGCGUAUGAAUUUUGCCCCUUUUAAUGCCAUUAGUAUCUGUCCAAUUUCUCAUGACAUGAUUGAUGGAAUCUCACUCACAAUUUUGAGCUUCUUUCCAUGUGUUUCGAAUGCAAGUUGUUAAGCACUUGUUCCUUUGUUCAGAUUAUUCCCCUCCACCUUCCUCCUGGUGACACAUCAGCAGAGAGAACAGUAUAUAUAAAUGGUUCAACAGAACAGAUUGAGACAGCCAAAGAAUUAGUUAAUGAUGUAAUCAGUGGGAAACGUAUUAUAAGCCCAUCUGAAUCCAAUAGCUAUGCACAGCCAGUUUAUCCUGCUGCUAGUAACUGGGUCCAGCCAGGACAACCUACUAUGCAACAACAGCCCCAAUAUGGGUACGCUCAACAAGGAAAUCAACCUACGUCCUCUUCUUACUAUGGCAACUACACCCAGCAACCAUCUUGGGAUCAGUUGAACCCAUCAACCAUGUCUCAAACACCUCAGCAAACGACUGGAUAUGGUUACUAUGGACAACCUCAAAUGGGAUCAGAUCCUCUUAAUCCUAGCUAUAGCUACAAUCAGACACCUCCUGUUGCCAGCAAAACUUAUGAUCAUAGCUACAGUCAGCAGACAAUAAGCUAUGGACAAAACAUUCCUACUCCAACACAAGAACAACAGACGACAUAUGGAAAUUCAAGUUAUGGGUAUGCUACUGUAUCAUCUCAACCAGAUGGGGCAGUUUCCUCCCAAUCAACUCGAGUGGCACCACCUGCAUAUCCACCUACUGCUUAUAGUCAAUCAGUGGCCAAUCCUCAAACAUACUGGAAUUCUUCAAGCUACACUGGACAGCAACCACAAACGGUGUAUGAUCAAACAGGGUACUCCCAAACUUAUGGAGGGCAAACUGCUUAUGGAGGGAUGCAACCAGGCCAAGUCCCUCCCCCAUCAACUUGGCCAAUUUAUGGACAAGGCGGAUAUCCUCUUCCGGAAUCUGCUGCAGCAGCAAAUUAUGUUCAGGAGACACAACCCCAGUCACAGCCAUCAAACAAUGGUCAUUCGCAGGCAUUGGCUUAUGGAGCUGAAACUCAUGAUGGGAACUCAAAAACUGCUGUGCAGGAAGCUGUUCCUUCGCAAAGCUGAAUUUCUAGCUGUUCAAAGGCGAAGUGAGCCUUUUAUGUGCUUCAGUUGGCGUUGGAUCCCCAGCGGGAAUGGAUGGCCAGCUCAGUAGCGUCUUGCUAAUGUAGUUGGCGCUUUGGUGACGGUAUUGCCUGUAGUCCAGGACGGGUUCAUGGAUUUGGAUCCCCAACCCGCCUCAGAUGGGUUAUUGCUUUUUGGUCCUUCGAUCUUGCGUGUUGAGCUGGGGCGGGUGUGUGAAUGGUUAAUCUGGCCAUGGGUCUUGGGCUAAGACUUGUUAUUGUCAUCUUUGUAUUGAAGGGCUCUUUUUUGUAAUGGGCUACAAGCCCUUUUAUUAUAAUGAAACUCAGGCAAAAGCUUUUGCUGAAAUUAAAGUUUCUCUAUCCAGAUGUCUCAAGCGAAGGGAACAAUUUUUGCUGAUUUUAUCGCCAUCCUAGGAGCUAGGCAACCGCAGAGUUUGGUCCUUUCACAAUUGGUAGUCCCCUUCAGAUGGGCCGUAUGGUUUCUUUCCCUCUUUUUCUUUUGCUUGGGGCUCUUCUGAUCUUUCUUUGCGUUCCGAAACACCAGAUGAAUAAAUAAACGGCAGUUGCUGUCUAUGAACAGAUAUGAGUAUGGAUGCUUAACCAGGUUGUGAGAUUGCCUUCAGAAAACGCUUUAAUCGACUUGGCAAAUUCAAUGGCAAAUUGAAGGUUAAGAACUUGCACCGUUGAACCACUGCAGAACAAAUUCUGUGGAAAAAACCAACCGAGAGUGUGGCUGUGAGAAUCUGACGGAACCCAUUUUAAUAAAAAUAAUGUGUCAUCAAAACAGACAAGGUGGAUCCGUGGCGCAAUGGUAGCGCGUCUGACUUCAGAUUCAAUGUAUCCUUUUUUGUAAUUUACGGACUCCUAAAUUUUAAUAAAAAUAAUAAAUUAAUCUCUAUUUUUUGAUAAUGA
RNAcentral lists this unclassified non-coding RNA (3572 nucleotides) under Hevea brasiliensis (rubber tree). Lineage: Eukaryota; Viridiplantae; Streptophyta; Magnoliopsida; Malpighiales; Euphorbiaceae. The record is from RNAcentral.